CUCGCUUGAGGGAGGACACACCUGGGGGAUGGUGUGAAGGUUCUCGAGGGGACAGGAGCCUGGUGCUCACUUUACAGAUGAGAAUACCGCCGGCACCUGCAUGCACACAGGUGCACCUAGCAAAGAAAAUCCCCUUCCCGUGGGGCUCGCCUUGCAGCGGGUGGGAGGAAGAGACAAGCUCAUUGAAAUGCGAACACUUUGCGCGUCGGAAGAGGAACUCAGAAGGCAGCGGUGGCUGGACGCCCACGCUGGCCUUGAUCAUCUAGGCAGAGGCCUGCAAGGAAGUUGG
Molecule: long non-coding RNA, 289 nt
Filed under: Homo sapiens (human)
Lineage: Eukaryota; Metazoa; Chordata; Mammalia; Primates; Hominidae
Description: HSALNT0235183
Source: RNAcentral